UAUUUUUGCAGCCGAAUUACGAGACACGUUAUUCAUACAUAAAAAUCAUUAAAUAAUAUUAGCAUG
The sequence is a regulatory RNA element, 66 nucleotides long. It matches the Rfam family "S15-Flavobacteria ribosomal protein leader". The record is from Rfam.